CCUACGGGCGGCAGCAGUGAGGAAUAUUGGUCAAUGGGCGAGAGCCUGAACCAGCCAAGUCGCGUGAAGGAUGACUGUCUUAUGGAUUGUAAACUUCUUUUAUACGGGAAUAACAAGAGUCACGUGUGACUCCCUGCAUGUACCGUAUGAAUAAGCAUCGGCUAACUCCGUGCCAGCAGCCGCGGUAAUACGGAGGAUGUGAGCGUUAUCCGGAUUUAUUGGGUUUAAAGGGUGCGUAGGCGGCCUGUUAAGUCAGCGGUGAAAUCUAGGAGCUUAACUCCUAAAUUGCCAUUGAUACUGGCGGGCUUGAGUGUAGAUGAGGUAGGCGGAAUGCGUGGUGUAGCGGUGGAAUGCAUAGAUAUCACGCAGAACUCCGAUUGCGAAGGCAGCUUACUAAGGUACAACUGACGCUGAAGCACGAAAGCGUGGGUAUCAAACAGGAUUAGAUACCCGAGUAGUC
RNAcentral lists this ribosomal RNA (460 nucleotides) under uncultured Porphyromonas sp. RNAcentral describes it as "bacterial SSU rRNA". It matches the Rfam family "Bacterial small subunit ribosomal RNA", at positions 338 to 795 of the family's 1533-position model. Lineage: Bacteria; Pseudomonadati; Bacteroidota; Bacteroidia; Bacteroidales; Porphyromonadaceae. The record is from RNAcentral.